GAUGAACGCUGGCGGCGUGCUUAACACAUGCAAGUCGAACGGAGAGAAAGUGCUUGCACUUUCUCUUAGUGGCGGACGGGUGAGUAACGCGUGGGUAACCUGCCCUAUGCAGGGGGAUAACAACGAGAAAUCGUUGCUAAUACCGCAUAAUAAAGAAGAGCUGCAUGGCUUUUCUUUCAAAGAUUUAUCGGCAUAGGAUGGACCCGCGUUGGAUUAGCUAGUUGGUGAGAUAACAGCCCACCAAGGCGACGAUCCAUAGCCGGCCGGAGCGGGUGAACGGCCACGCGGUGACUGAGACACGGCCCGGACUCCAGCGGGAGGCAGCGGUGGGGAAUAUUGCACAAUGGGCGCAAGCCUGAUGCAGCGCCGCCGCGUGAAGGAUGAAGGUCUUCGGAUUGUAAACUUCUAUCAGCAGGGAAGAAGGAGUGUCUUCGGACACUCUUGACGGUACCUGACUAAGAAGCACCGGCUAACUACGUGCCAGCAGCCGCCGUAA
RNAcentral lists this ribosomal RNA (496 nucleotides) under uncultured bacterium. Its description in RNAcentral is "partial 16S ribosomal RNA". It matches the Rfam family "Bacterial small subunit ribosomal RNA", at positions 28 to 523 of the family's 1533-position model. The record is from RNAcentral.